RNAcentral lists this ribosomal RNA (500 nucleotides) under uncultured Lachnospiraceae bacterium. Its description in RNAcentral is "bacterial SSU rRNA". It matches the Rfam family "Bacterial small subunit ribosomal RNA", at positions 9 to 507 of the family's 1533-position model. Lineage: Bacteria; Bacillati; Bacillota; Clostridia; Lachnospirales; Lachnospiraceae. The record is from RNAcentral.
AAGUUUCGUAUCCUGGCUCAGGAUGAACGCUGGCGGCGUGCCUAACACAUGCAAGUCGAACGGGGCGCGCCGAUGGAAACUUUUCGGAGCGGAAAUGGCGCUGCCUAGUGGCGGACGGGUGAGUAACGCGUGAGCAACCUGCCCUGCACUGGGGGACAACAGCUGGAAACGGCUGCUAAUACCGCAUAGGCGCACAGCCCCGCAUGGGGCGGUGUGGAAAGUAAUAUGGUGCAGGAUGGGCUCGCGUCUGAUUAGCUUGUUGGCGGGGUAACGGCCCACCAAGGCGACGAUCAGUAGCCGGCCUGAGAGGGUGGACGGCCACAUUGGGACUGAGACACGGCCCAGACUCCUACGGGAGGCAGCAGUGGGGGAUAUUGCACAAUGGGGGGAACCCUGAUGCAGCGACGCCGCGUGGGCGAUGGAGUACUUCGGUAUGUAAAGCCCUAUCAGCAGGGAAGAAAAUGACGGUACCUGACUAAGAAGCCCCGACUAAAUACGUG